CAUUUUUAUUUAUCAAUCUGUUUUCUACUGAAAUUUGCAUUUUAAUUAAAAGACAUUCACAAAGAAUAUUCGGCAUACAUACAUUAGUUCCUUUUUCCAUUCAUGUUACAUGCUGCUCUUAUAAACGUUUUUCUUCAUAAUUUAGUAAAAACAAAACUUUGACUGUAGAAAUAAUUUUAUUUAAUAUGGAUCCCCUGUAGCUAAAUGGAUAAAUGAAAAUAAAAAUGCAUUGAAUAACACAUGACUAAUGUGGUAAAGUAAAAAUUGUCUCUGUAAGGCAGGGUUUUCUGCAACCCGUUGCAAAGGCAAACAUUGUAACUUAAUAAAGCUUUCAGCAUCACUAUACACAAAAAGGUAGUUGAUUAAAAAAAAAUGUUUUCAUUUUAAUAUGAUUUUACCAAACAUCAUCAACAUUUUGGAAUAAGCACUAGUUAUUCCUUAGUGAAUCAGCCAUUUUGUUGUUAUCACAAGCAAGUAGCACAGCUUCUACAUGUAAUGUAAGAAUAUACCAAUUUCCUGUGAUCCCUUUUCUGUUAGCUAUAUUGUCCAGUCUACAGGAUACUGUUAAUGUAAGAAAUACUUUAUUGUAAAGUAUGGAAAAAGAUAGCUGUAGUCCAAGAACUUGUGUGUGUAUAAGAUUAGUACUAUUACAUUUAAAAAUGUACAUAAUUUUAGCAUUGUUUUGUUAAAUAAAAUAUCAGUAAUUUAAAUAAAUACUUUACUAUUCGUUUCUAAUGUAUAUUUUAAAAUUUCCCUUUAUAAAUAGAAAGUUUGUUACACAAUAACUCUUAUUUAGAAUAAUCUAUACAUGUACAUCGUAAUAAUUAUUAUGCAAGCGUUUUUUUCGAGAAAUCUAGAGGUUGCAAAAUUGGGCAUAAUAUUAGCUUUACAUGAAUAUUAUUUAUACUUAACGGUGAGUGCCUGAGCCAAUUACCAUGGAAACAAGUUAUAGUGAUACAUCUAGGCAUUAGGAAAAACAUAUUACUGAUGUAUGAACACAAACUAAACUACAUUAAAUAUGCAUACAUAAUUGUUCUAGGUAUAACAGUGACUAUUGUAUAGUGAUGACUUGGUUGGAAAGGGAAACAUUUUUAGUCAUAAAUAGAAAAUAAGAGUCAUUUUAUUUCAGAAAAAAAAAUAUAUUUUUGUUUUGAAAGCAAGCUUUGGAUUCUUUCUUGCAUCUGUGUAACUUGUAAUGUUUCUACAACAAACUUUCUAUGAAAAAUAAGCAAUAAUAAUUUCUAAUGUAUGUACCCCUUUAAAUGUAUUUUAUAAUUUAUAGAAAAGUAAUAUUAAAUUAAUAAUGGGUUUACAAGAUGUGUUAAUAAAAAAAAAAAGUCUGGGAUGUACAUUUUGCUGUUCUCACAAAUAAAUUAAAAUGCCUUGCAUUAAAGGAACACUAUAGUGUCAGGUAUACAAACAUGUAUUCCUGACACUAUAGUUCUGGUAUGUACGCCCCCUCCUCCCCCGCUUAGAUCACUCUGAAAAGGUGUUUAAACUCACCUUUUUUCCCACAGCGUGCCAGUCUUGCUGCGGCUGGCUCUGCCACAUGAAAGCAUUAUGAGGCUACUGCGCAUGUGCAGCAAAAUGUUGCGCUGUACUAAUCAGCAUCUCUUUAUAGAGAUGAAUUAAGUCAAUACAUCUCUUUGGAGAAUGUUCAGUGUCUCAACAUGGUGUGUGGAGGUGCUGCACACUGUGCACACUGUGCAGCACUGACACAGGAAGCACCUCUAGUGGCCGUCUAAGUGACAACCACUAGAUGUGUUACUAGGCAGCAAGGCAAACACUGUCUUUUCUCAGAAAAGGCACCAAGUAUAUUGAAAAGCCUACAGGGACAGGCUAUAGACUUCAGAACCACUACAAUAAGCAUUAGUUUAAAGGACAAUUGUGUGGCAAAGAUACUGAAUAAUUGAUAGGAUAUGUUGAAUUUGAUAGGUAAAGAUUUUAUGUUAGCAAUGUUGGAAACAAACCUCAUCUAAAUUGAUUGAAUUUGAGAUUAUUAUUUUUUACUUACGUUUAUUUGUCUAAUAUUGAAGGAACACUAUAGCAUUAGCAAUACAAACAUUUAUUCCUAAUGUUAUAGUGUCUUAUACACUGUUUAGGUAGUCUGGCCCUCUUUAAGGGUAAAAAAGUUGAUUUACUUGCCUUGUGACGUUGGACGGGGGAGCUGACGUCGGCGGGGGAGGAAAGGGUCACCAGCGCUGAGGGAGCCCGGUGCUGGAUUAAGGUAAGUAACUAAAUGGGUUUUAACUCCUUCAGCGCCACGGGAGGGGGACCCUGAGGCUGCGGGCACCCUCAGGGCACGAUAGUGUCAGGAAAACCGCUUUGUUUUCCUGACACUAUAGUGAUCCUUUAACCUAAUGCUUGCUCAUUAGCCCUUCGCUUAAGCUGCACAGGGGGAUGGGGUUAUUAAGACUCUCAUUUAGCAUUACAUUAUAAAAUUGGUUUAACACUGAAUGGAAGGAAAGCGCCAGGGGACUCCAGACACAAUAACCACUUCAAUGCGAUGAAAAUGAAGCAGUAUCAGUGUGAUUUUGUCUAUUGUCCGUAAAGAACAUUCUUCUUCAACAUUUAAUCUGUACUUAUUGCUUGUAGCUUUUAAAAUACAGUAUCCCUAGCUUCAAUUUAACAUUUUUGGGGGAUUUGAGAAAAUACCCAAAACAGAGAUUCAGCCUUACCAUAGGGGCCUUCAAUAGAGUACAUUGGUAGCUUUCAAUAGAGCAGACAGAUAUUUGUUCUUGAGACAAUGCAUACCAAAUACCUUACGAUUUGGUGAAAAUUGUCUUGUUUCCAAUAAUUGUGAUAGCAGGCCAUGUCUCCUGUUUGCUUUUGCGUUAAGCCAUGCAAUAAUUAUAAGUACCGUACCUCUUUACGGGCUUUGUUUUGUGUUUAGAAUAGUAUAUUAAGAAAAAGAAAUCUGGUGAAAUGUAAUAUACAAUAGUAUUACUUAUAAUUGAAUUUUAUCAAAAUUAUGUCCUUAACCCCUUCAGGGCGGAGUCAAUAGUACACGUUCUGAUCAAAGCAAAAUGUAAACAAAAACUGGAAUUUGCGCUAUAUGUCUGUUUGUAACUAAGUGGCUACUAAAAAUGACUGGUCAUACCCCGUUUGCAAUACCUUGGGUUGUCUACUUUUGCAAAUGGUAUGUUAUUAUGAGGGUAAUUCUUAUUCCUGGGCUACCAUACGAUCUUAAAAGGCAACAUAACCAAUCUGGCAAAUUUUAAUGUGAACAAAAUGAAAUGCAAGCCUUAUAUUCGACUCUCUAACUUUCCAAAACACCAUAAAACCUGUACAUGGGGGGUACUGUUUUACUCAGAAGACUUUGCUGAACACAAAUAUUAGUGUUUCAAAAUGGUAACUUGUAUUACAACAAUAAUAUCGUCAGUAAAAGUGCUGUUCA
RNAcentral lists this long non-coding RNA (3397 nucleotides) under Pelobates cultripes (western spadefoot toad). The record is from RNAcentral. Lineage: Eukaryota; Metazoa; Chordata; Amphibia; Anura; Pelobatidae.